RNAcentral lists this ribosomal RNA (624 nucleotides) under Leptospira borgpetersenii serovar Balcanica. RNAcentral's name for it is "bacterial SSU rRNA". It matches the Rfam family "Bacterial small subunit ribosomal RNA", at positions 907 to 1533 of the family's 1533-position model. Lineage: Bacteria; Pseudomonadati; Spirochaetota; Leptospiria; Leptospirales; Leptospiraceae. The record is from RNAcentral.
GAAUUGACGGGGGCCCGCACAAGCGGUGGAGCAUGUGGUUUAAUUCGAAGCAACGCGAAGAACCUUACCAGGUCUUGACAUCCUUUGACCACUCUGGAGACAGAGCUUUCCCUUCGGGGACAAAGUGACAGGUGGUGCAUGGUUGUCGUCAGCUCGUGUCGUGAGAUGUUGGGUUAAGUCCCGCAACGAGCGCAACCCUUGAUUUUAGUUGCCAGCAUUUAGUUGGGCACUCUAAAGUGACUGCCGGUGCAAGCCGGAGGAAGGUGGGGAUGACGUCAAAUCAUCAUGCCCCUUAUGACCUGGGCUACACACGUGCUACAAUGGAUAGUACAAAGGGUCGCGAAGCCGCGAGGUGGAGCUAAUCCCAUAAAACUAUUCUCAGUUCGGAUUGUAGGCUGCAACUCGCCUACAUGAAGCCGGAAUCGCUAGUAAUCGUGGAUCAGCAUGCCACGGUGAAUACGUUCCCGGGCCUUGUACACACCGCCCGUCACACCAUGGGAGUGGGUUGCAAAAGAAGUAGGUAGCUUAACCUUCGGGAGGGCGCUUACCACUUUGUGAUUCAUGACUGGGGUGAAGUCGUAACAAGGUAACCGUAGGGGAACCUGCGGUUGGAUCACCUCCUUA